UACGUAGGCAGCAAGCGUUGUUCGGAGUUACUGGGCGUAAAGGGUGUGUAGGCGGCCGCUUAAGUUUGGUGUGAAAUCUCCCGGCUCAACUGGGAGGGUGCGCCGAAGACUGAGGGGCUCGAGUGCGGGAGAGGAGAGUGGAAUUCCUGGUGUAGCGGUGAAAUGCGUAGAUAUCAGGAGGAACACCGGUGGUGUAGGCGGCUCUCUGGACCGCGACUGACGCUGAGACACGAAAGCGUGGGUAG
RNAcentral lists this ribosomal RNA (245 nucleotides) under uncultured bacterium. RNAcentral's name for it is "partial 16S ribosomal RNA". It matches the Rfam family "Bacterial small subunit ribosomal RNA", at positions 524 to 768 of the family's 1533-position model. The record is from RNAcentral.